Schistosoma haematobium is the source of this 45-nucleotide non-coding RNA. The record is from Rfam. NCBI's taxonomy places the organism in Eukaryota, Metazoa, Platyhelminthes, Trematoda, Strigeidida, Schistosomatidae.
AUCUAGCUAAGGAGUCCCAGAUAUGACGAAAUGCGCAUCCUGGAU